RNAcentral lists this ribosomal RNA (451 nucleotides) under uncultured bacterium. RNAcentral's name for it is "partial 16S ribosomal RNA". It matches the Rfam family "Bacterial small subunit ribosomal RNA", at positions 354 to 796 of the family's 1533-position model. The record is from RNAcentral.
GUGGGGAAUAUUGGACAAUGGGGGGAACCCUGAUCCAGCCAUGCCGCGUGUGUGAAGAAGGCCUUUUGGUUGUAAAGCACUUUAAGCGAGGAGGAGGCUACCGAGAUUAAUACUCUUGGAUAGUGGACGUUACUCGCAGAAUAAGCACCGGCUAACUCUGUGCCAGCAGCCGCGGUAAUACAGAGGGUGCAAGCGUUAAUCGGAUUUACUGGGCGUAAAGCGCGCGUAGGUGGCCAAUUAAGUCAAAUGUGAAAUCCCCGAGCUUAACUUGGGAAUUGCAUUCGAUAGUGGUUGGCUAGAGUAUGGGAGAGGAUGGUAGAAUUCCAGGUGUAGCGGUGAAAUGCGUAGAGAUCUGGAGGAAUACCGAUGGCGAAGGCAGCCAUCUGGCCUAAUACUGACACUGAGGUGCGAAAGCAUGGGGAGCAAACAGGAUUAGAAACCCGAGUAGUCC